Molecule: long non-coding RNA, 591 nt
Organism: Harpia harpyja (harpy eagle)
Lineage: Eukaryota; Metazoa; Chordata; Aves; Accipitriformes; Accipitridae
Exons: 3
Source: RefSeq, a predicted model, not a curated record
GUUCUUGCCUAUGUUUCUCGUAUGCUGUUGCUUUUGGAAAAUUUUCUCUCUACCUGGCUCCCUGUUUCUGUUUUCUAGUUCUUGCUGUUUCUUCUCCCGUAUCACUUGAGAAUGUUUCCCUGUCCCUUGUCCUGUCUUUAUCUUGUUGUCCUGCCAGUCCCUUCCCCUUCUCUCCCCCACUUCCUAUUAUUUAUUCCUCCAUCUCCAUCCCUGUUGUUUUGCUCAGUCUCUCUGCGCUUCUCUCUCUACACUGUUUUCCUGCUUCUCGUCCCUCUCUUGUUCCCAGCAUCCCAUUUUCUGGCUCCCUGUCUUGCACCUCUGUGUCCCUCUGUCCUUCCUCCUGCUUUACUCUUCCCUUUUAUCACCCCAUCCUGCUGCCUUUGGGCACUGAGCCUUGUAGCCAACUCAUUGCCAGGAUUUCUUAUAUGCAUUAAUGAAUAAAUUUUUCCUGCCUCCUCUGUGUCCCUGGAUGUGGUUGCUUGAGACUGGCUGGGCAUCGGUCAGUUGGUGGUUUCUUAUAGGCACCCUUUACAUACCAUGAAGUCUGCUAUAAGGUCUCCUGCAAAGCUGCAUGCCAGUGAGCGGUCCGAG